This 1292-nucleotide long non-coding RNA is filed under the name Monodelphis domestica (gray short-tailed opossum). RNAcentral describes it as "lncRNA (ENSMODG00000044217.1)". The record is from RNAcentral. Lineage: Eukaryota; Metazoa; Chordata; Mammalia; Didelphimorphia; Didelphidae.
GGCGCUGGAGAUAAGAUAAAGAAAGAGGCAGAGAGGAAAGAUGAGUGAGAAAGGGGGGUGGGGGAAGGAUGGGGGAGAAAGAGAGGAGGUGGAGGAGGGAGAGGCAGAGGCGAGAUGGGGAGACAAAGAAACUGAGCGGGGGUGAGAGAGGUGAAGGAAGGUGAGAGCAGAGAGAAUGAGAGCAAGCUCUCACCCUCCCAGCGCUGCCGCCACAGCCCCUUCAGCACCGAGUGUAGCGGAGAGCGCUCGCCUCUCUCCAGGAGUCCGACAGAUCCGCUCCUUGCUGAGAGCUGCUCGCUAGCUACUCCCGGACAUUCUCUCCCUUGGCCAAUGGUCCCGAGAAACCAAGCACAGCAUUCAGCGCUAGCCCGGCCUCGCUCCCCCGUACCCCCCGAGGGCAGACUGGGAGAGCCCUAAGCAGCGCCCAGGACUGAGGAGUCCCAUUUCAGACGCUAGCGCCGAUUUCUUUGGACUUGGUUAGGGAUGGGCCCAUCUGUAAAGACCAGAAGCCUCUGCCAGGCGAGUCUCGCUGGCUUCCUUCCACCUGCUUUGCAUUUUGAGGAGUCUGAAGACGUGCGGCGGAAUACCUGUGCCAGUCUCGCGGCUGGUACGGCUGUGGGCAAAUCAUUUCCCGAGCUCAGUUUCUUUCUUUCUAAAAUGGGUCUACAUGCAACGCUCCACCUUACGGAUCCCUCGGAAGGCAAGCCUUAAGUAGCAAAACUUAAAGGGCUAUAAAGACGGGAGGGAGGAUUCACCGGGCCCCUCGCACCCAGUUAGCACAAGUGACCUUCUCCUGAGGCAGGCAGUUCCCCAGCAAUCCAGGCAGCUUCUUUCCCACCAACAGCCUCUGCCUCUCGUCUUCCUUCCUUCCCUCCUUCCCUCCCACCUUUCACAUCCCAGAGACAGCCAGAGGCUAGGCAGGGACGCCAGAGAGUACCUUGAAGGGCCCAGAGCCGAUCUGAUCAGCGAGGCAGCUGUUUUCUUUGGCUCCUUCCACCCGCCAUCUGGCCUGGGGCAGUCACAACCACUGGAGAAUGCCAGCCAAGCCCAGAUCCAAAUUCUCACUUUUGUGAGGGUGGAGCCAAGAUGGCAGCUUAGUAGCACCAAAAGCUGGAACUACUCAAAAGAAUCCUUCAAAACCAAAUUCUCAGUUUCCUCUAGUCACUCUCCAACCCAUGAGAAGGCAAGAAAUAAACUAUUCAUUUCCAUUCUACUUAUGAAGUCAUGCAAAAGAUUUAUGAAUUAACCAUGUUAAAAAAAAGACAAGAAAAAUAAAGAGAAAAAAUACUUCA